Molecule: ribosomal RNA, 272 nt
Filed under: uncultured prokaryote
Description: partial 16S ribosomal RNA
Rfam family: Bacterial small subunit ribosomal RNA
Source: RNAcentral
UACGGAGGGUGCAAGCGUUAUCCGGAUUCACUGGGUUUAAAGGGUGCGUAGGCGGGCAAGUAAGUCAGUGGUGAAAUCUCCGGGCUUAACUCGGAAACUGCCGUUGAUACUAUUUGUCUUGAAUAUCAUGGAGGUAAGCGGAAUAUGUCAUGUAGCGGUGAAAUGCUUAGAUAUGACAUAGAACACCGAUAGCGAAGGCAGCUUACUACAUGUUAAUUGACGCUGAGGCACGAAAGCGUGGGGAGCAAACAGGAUUAGAUACCGAGUAGUCC